Molecule: ribosomal RNA, 253 nt
Filed under: uncultured bacterium
Lineage: Bacteria
Description: partial 16S ribosomal RNA
Rfam family: Bacterial small subunit ribosomal RNA
Source: RNAcentral
UACGUAGGGGGCGAGCGUUGUCCGGAGUUACUGGGCGUAAAGGGUGCGUAGGCGGUCGGGUAAGUCUGAUGUGAAAUCUCACAGCUUAACUGUGAAACUGCAUUGGAUACUAUCCGGCUCGAGGAAUGGAGGGGAGACUGGAAUACUUGGUGUAGCAGUGAAAUGCGUAGAUAUCAAGUGGAACACCAGUGGCGAAGGCGAGUCUCUGGACAUUUCCUGACGCUGAGGCACGAAAGCCAGGGGAGCAAACGGG